CCUACGGGAGGCAGCAGUGAGGAAUAUUGGUCAAUGGACGAGAGUCUGAACCAGCCAAGUAGCGUGAAGGAUGACUGCCCUAUGGGUUGUAAACUUCUUUUAUAUGGGAAUAAAACGUUCCACGUGUGGGAUUUUGUAUGUACCAUAUGAAUAAGGAUCGGCUAACUCCGUGCCAGCAGCCGCGGUAAUACGGAGGAUCCGAGCGUUAUCCGGAUUUAUUGGGUUUAAAGGGAGCGUAGGUGGAUUGUUAAGUCAGUUGUGAAAGUUUGCGGCUCAACCGUAAAAUUGCAGUUGAAACUGGCAGUCUUGAGUACAGUAGAGGUGGGCGGAAUUCGUGGUGUAGCGGUGAAAUGCUUAGAUGUCACGAAGAACUCCGAUUGCGAAGGCAGUUCACUGGACUGCAACUGACACUGAGGCUCGAAAGUGUGGGUAUCAAACAGGAUUAGAUACCCUUGUAGUC
RNAcentral lists this ribosomal RNA (460 nucleotides) under uncultured bacterium. Its description in RNAcentral is "partial 16S ribosomal RNA". It matches the Rfam family "Bacterial small subunit ribosomal RNA", at positions 338 to 795 of the family's 1533-position model. The record is from RNAcentral.